This 400-nucleotide ribosomal RNA is filed under the name phytoplankton environmental sample. RNAcentral describes it as "partial small subunit ribosomal RNA". It matches the Rfam family "Eukaryotic small subunit ribosomal RNA", at positions 587 to 987 of the family's 1831-position model. The record is from RNAcentral.
AGCUCCAGUAGCGUAUAUUAAAGUUGUUGCAGUUAAAAAGCUCGUAGUUGGAUUUCUGGCAAGAUAGCGAUGACCUGGCACUUAGUGUCACGCGUUAAAACUAUCUGCCAUCCUUCCAGAGAACGACGAUACCGUUUAUUUCGGCCUUCGUCGCAAUCUGGAACUUUUACUUUGAAGAAAUUAGAGUGUUCAAAGCAGGCGAUACGCAUUGAAUACAUUAGCAUGGAAUAAUAAUUUAGGACUUAGUUUCUAUUUUGUUGGUUCUAGGAAUUAAGUAAUGAUUGAUAGGGAUAGUUGGGGGUGCUAGUAUUCAGCGGCCAGAGGUGAAAUUCUAUGAUUCGCUGAAGACUAACUUAUGCGAAAGCAUUCACCAAGGAUGUCUUCUUUAAUCAAGAACGAA